This 301-nucleotide ribosomal RNA is filed under the name uncultured bacterium. RNAcentral's name for it is "partial 16S ribosomal RNA". It matches the Rfam family "Bacterial small subunit ribosomal RNA", at positions 509 to 807 of the family's 1533-position model. The record is from RNAcentral.
CAGUAGCCACGGGAAUACGGAGGGUGCAAGCGUUAAUCGGAAUUACUGGGCGUAAAGCGCACGCAGGCAGUUUGUUAAGUCAGAUGUGAAAUCCCCGAGCUUAACUUGGGAACUGCAUUUGAAACUGGCAAGCUAGAGUCUUGUAGAGGGGGGUAGAAUUCCAGGUGUAGCGGUGAAAUGCGUAGAGAUCUGGAGGAAUACCGGUGGCGAAGGCGGCCCCCUGGACAAAGACUGACGCUCAGGUGCGAAAGCGUGGGGAGCAAACAGGAUUAGAUACCCCGGUAGUCCCUGUCUCUUAUAC